RNAcentral lists this ribosomal RNA (492 nucleotides) under uncultured bacterium. RNAcentral describes it as "partial 16S ribosomal RNA". It matches the Rfam family "Bacterial small subunit ribosomal RNA", at positions 29 to 507 of the family's 1533-position model. The record is from RNAcentral.
AGUGAACGCUGGCGGUAGGCCUAACACAUGCAAGUCGAACGGCAGCACAGUAAGAGCUUGCUCUUACGGGUGGCGAGUGGCGGACGGGUGAGGAAUACAUCGGAAUCUACUUUUUCGGGGGGGAUAACGUAGGGAAACUUACGCUAAUACCGCAUACGACCUACGGGUGAAAGCAGGGGAUCUUCGGGCCUGGCGCGAUUGAAUGAGCCGAUGUCGGAUUAGCUAGUUGGCGGGGUAAAGGCCCACCAAGGCGACGAUCCGUAGCUGGUCUGAGAGGAUGAUCGGCCGCACUGGAGCUUGGCCACGGUCCAGACUCCUACGGGAGGCCGCAGUGGGGAAUAUUGGACAAUGGGCGCAAGCCUGAUCCAGCCAUACCGCGUGGGUUGAGAAGGCCUUCGGGUUGUAAAGCCCUUUUGUUGGGAAAGAAAAGCAGCAGGUUAAUACCCCGCUGUUCUGACGGUACCCAAAGAAUAAGCACCGGCUAACUUCGUG